GAGACUCUGUGCGCGUGCAUAUCAAUAAGCGGAGGAAAAGAAACUAACAAGGAUUCCCUUAGUAACGGCGAGUGAAGCGGGAAGAGCUCAAAUUUGAAAUCUUCAAGGUUUUACCUUGACGAAUUGUAGUUUAAAGAAGUGUUUUCUGUUGAAGUUUUGGUAAAAGUUCUUUGGAAUAGGACAUCAUAGAGGGUGAGAAUCCCGUAUUUGACCAUUAUUUUCAGCUGUGUGAUACACUUUCAAAGAGUCGGAUUGUUUGGGAAUGCAGUCCAAAAUGGGUGGUAAAUUUCAUCUAAAGCUAAAUAUUGGCGAGAGACCGAUAGCGAACAAGUACCGUGAGGGAAAGAUGAAAAGAACUUUGAAAAGAGAGUUAAACAGUACGUGAAAUUGUCAAAAGGGAAACGUUUGACACCAGUGUUGUUUUCUCGAAAAUCAAUUAAAAAGAGUUGGAUUUUGUGUUGUAUUGACCUUAACAGCUUUCUUCACUCUUUUCCUGCUUUUUUUAAUGCACUUUUCGUUUAACAAGUCAACAUCAGUUUCUUUUGUUGUAAAAGGGUCAUUGGAAGGUGGCUUUCUUUUCGGAGAAAGUGUUUAUAGCCUUUGAUCUCUGCAAUCGGAGAGACUGAGGUCUGCAGCGUAGAUCCUUCGGGGUUAGAUACAUUUGCGCCAAGUUAUAACUUUUCAUAGACAACUUGUUGACUAUGUUUAGUCAUGUAGCUUAGCUCGCUUAGUGCUAUUUUACCUACGCUUAGGAUGUUGAAUCUGUGCGAGACUAC
RNAcentral lists this ribosomal RNA (776 nucleotides) under uncultured Neocallimastigales. RNAcentral describes it as "partial large subunit ribosomal RNA". It matches the Rfam family "Eukaryotic large subunit ribosomal RNA", at positions 23 to 644 of the family's 3401-position model. The record is from RNAcentral. Lineage: Eukaryota; Fungi; Neocallimastigomycota; Neocallimastigomycetes; Neocallimastigales.